UGCAGUCGAGCGAACAGACGAGGAGCUUGCUCCUUUGACGUUAGCGGCGGACGGGUGAGUAACACGUGGGUAACCUACCUAUAAGACUGGGAUAACUUCGGGAAACCGGAGCUAAUACCGGAUAAUAUUUCGAACCGCAUGGUUCGAUAGUGAAAGAUGGCUUUGCUAUCACUUAUAGAUGGACCUGCGCCGUAUUAGCUAGUUGGUAAGGUAACGGCUUACCAAGGCAACGAUACGUAGCCGACCUGAGAGGGUGAUCGGCCACACUGGAACUGAGACACGGUCCAGACUCCUACGGGAGGCAGCAGUAUGGAAUCUUCCGCAAUGGGCGAAAGCCUGACGGAGCAACGCCGCGUGAGUGAUGAAGGUCUUCGGAUCGUAUUACUCUGUUAUUAGGGAAGAACAAAUGUGUCAGUCACUGUGCACGUCUUGACGGUACCUAAUCAGAAAGUCACGGCUAACUACGUGCCAGCAGCCGCGGUAAUACGUAGGUGGCAAGCGUUAUCCGGAAUUAUUGGGCGUAAAGCGCGCGUAGGCGGAUUUUUAAGUCUGAUGUGAAAGCCCACGGCUCAACCGUGGAGGGUCAUUGGAAACUGGAAAACUUGAGUGCAGAAGAGGAAAGUGGAAUUCCAUGUGUAGCGGUGAAAUGCGCAGAGAUAUGGAGGAACACCAGUGGCGAAGGCGACUUUCUGGUCUGUAACUGACGCUGAUGUGCGAAAGCGUGGGGAUCAAACAGGAUUAGAUACCCUGGUAGUCCACGCCGUAAACGAUGAGUGCUAAGUGUUAGGGGGUUUCCGCCCCUUAGUGCUGCAGCUAACGCAUUAAGCACUCCGCCUGGGGAGUACGACCGCAAGGUU
This 857-nucleotide ribosomal RNA is filed under the name Staphylococcus hominis. RNAcentral describes it as "bacterial SSU rRNA". It matches the Rfam family "Bacterial small subunit ribosomal RNA", at positions 56 to 895 of the family's 1533-position model. Lineage: Bacteria; Bacillati; Bacillota; Bacilli; Caryophanales; Staphylococcaceae. The record is from RNAcentral.